This 262-nucleotide ribosomal RNA is filed under the name uncultured bacterium. RNAcentral's name for it is "partial 16S ribosomal RNA". It matches the Rfam family "Bacterial small subunit ribosomal RNA", at positions 57 to 305 of the family's 1533-position model. The record is from RNAcentral.
GCAAGUCGAGCGCGAACGGUCUUCGGACCAAGUAGAGCGGCGCACGGGUGAGUAACACGUGAGUAACCUACCCUUGGGUCUGGGAUAACAUUCCGAAAGGAGUGCUAAUACCGGAUAAGACCACGGUGCCUUCGGGCGCAGUGAGAAAAGUUGGGGACCGGAAACGGCCUGACACCUUAGGAUGGGCUCGCGGCCUAUCAGCUUGUUGGUGGGGUAACGGCCUACCAAGGCGAAGACGGGUAGCUGGUCUGAGAGGAUGAUC